Molecule: ribosomal RNA, 93 nt
Filed under: Craterellus atratoides
Lineage: Eukaryota; Fungi; Basidiomycota; Agaricomycetes; Cantharellales; Hydnaceae
Description: partial 25S ribosomal RNA
Source: RNAcentral
UGACCUCGAAUCAGAUGAGACUACCCGCUGAACUUAAGCAUAUCAAUAAGCGGAGGACUACCCGCUGAACUUAAGCAUAUCAAUAAGCGGAGG